CAAAAUAUCCAGAUGAAUAAAGAAACUCAUCAAUUAUCUGGGCCUUUUGUUUUCCCAACACAAAACACCAGGUAAAGCCCGUCAUCUGGAACGCUAAAUGUUUCUCCCACCUCUUACCUAGCAGUUUAUGCCUGUAGACAGAGCUUUAGACAGCAGAUGGAAGGAAACGCCAGGCUGGAAGGAUCAUGCUGGUUCUCUUGAAUUCCGGGCAUUGUCCCAAGAUUGGAAUGAAUUGUUCUCAGAACUGUGGGGAGAGCAUAUCUGAAAUCACUCCUUUAGAAGCUGCUGGAGGCUUGGGACCAUGGAACGCUUAUUUAGGCCAAUAGCAUGAUGCAGCAGAAAAAGCGUGAGCUUCGAUGCCAAAGAGAAGAGGAACAGAAUCUCGGAUCUGCCCACUUUGUGUCCUGGAGCACAGACUACAAACUUCAUCAAGGCGGUUGUACCCAUUUUGGAGUGCAUUCAGCUACAAGUAACAGAAACUUGACAGUGGCUUCAACAAAUAAGGAUUCACUUUUGUCAUCUAAAAAAGAAGUACAGAGGUAGUGGCUGCUGGUAAUGUUUCAGAACCUCAACAAUGUCACAAUGUCUCUUUGACUCUUUUGGUCUUUACUUCAUGGGUUCAAGAUAGCUGUUGCAGCUCUAGCCAUCAUAUCCAAAUUAAAGCAAGAAGAAAGGAAAAGGGAUGAGGACAGCCAUAUCUGUCUCAUUUUAGUGGGAAAGCAAGCUUUCCAUUCUUGAGCUUGGCCGUAACUGGGUUGCUUACAACUCCAAGCGGCAAGGGAGGCUGGGAGAUGAGAUUCUGCAGGCUAAAUUGGG
RNAcentral lists this long non-coding RNA (816 nucleotides) under Equus caballus (horse). RNAcentral describes it as "lncRNA (ENSECAG00000048412.1)". The record is from RNAcentral. Lineage: Eukaryota; Metazoa; Chordata; Mammalia; Perissodactyla; Equidae.